CUCGUCCACCACGGGAGCUCGCGGCAGCGGGCUGAGAGGGAGCUGUUCCGCUCCGACCGUUGAACCUGAUCCGGGUAAAGCCGGCGAAGGAAGCGAGGAGCGAAGCGUGC
This 110-nucleotide non-coding RNA is filed under the name Nocardioides dokdonensis. RNAcentral describes it as "TPP sequence". It matches the Rfam family "TPP riboswitch aptamer (THI element)". From Rfam's summary of the family: Vitamin B(1) in its active form thiamin pyrophosphate (TPP) is an essential coenzyme that is synthesised by coupling of pyrimidine and thiazole moieties in bacteria. The previously detected thiamin-regulatory element, thi box was extended, resulting in a new, highly conserved RNA secondary structure, the THI element, which is widely distributed in eubacteria and also occurs in some archaea. RNAcentral also lists the same sequence under 1 other name. Lineage: Bacteria; Bacillati; Actinomycetota; Actinomycetes; Propionibacteriales; Nocardioidaceae. The record is from RNAcentral.